RNAcentral lists this long non-coding RNA (1079 nucleotides) under Setaria italica (foxtail millet). RNAcentral's name for it is "long non-coding RNA (SITA_LNC004992)". Lineage: Eukaryota; Viridiplantae; Streptophyta; Magnoliopsida; Poales; Poaceae. The record is from RNAcentral.
CAGGCGCGGCUGCAGGGGCGCUAGGGGCUCCCAAUGCCUGGGUGUUGCGGGAUCAUGUCAACAGGGGCGCCCAUCAGCGGCAGGGGCACCCGCCACGGGGCACCAAGGCGAUGCUGGAUGGCGCUUGGGCGGCGCCUGGAGCCGGCAGGAGGGGCGCCGGAGGGCUGAUGACGCCAAGAGGUCCUGCAUGCAAAGGAAACUGUGUCGUUCGAAUGGGGAACAGCACAAUGUCAGUGUUGUCAUCCAAAAACUCAUAGGCUGCCGGUGGGGAUGGUGGGAAUAGCUCGGCGUAGGGGAACGAUGACUCAUCAAAUGUGACAUGUCGGGAGACGAUACGAUUAGAACGGAGAUCAAGGCAACGGUACCCUUUAUGAUGAGCUGAAUAUCCUAAGAAGAUGCACGCGGCAGAGAGAGGCGAUAGCUAAGGAGUGGCCGUGGCAGAGAGGUUUGGAUAACAUCGACAACCAAAGACCCGUAAGUGCUCGUAGGAUGGCGCGGCGCCAUACAGGGCCUCAUGUGGCGUGCGGGAGGCUAGGGUCUUGGUGGGAAGCAGGUUAAGCAGGUAAGUCGUGGCGUGUAGAGCUUCAACCAAUAACGGGGUGGGAGGGCAGGGGGAAGGCUUGCCUGGAAGAGGAGUGAGCAGAGGAUGUUGUUCGUUGAACGAAUGAUCCGCUCAGCUCGACCGUUUUGCGGCAACGUGUACGGGUAAGACAUGCAGAAGUGGACGCCAUGGGAGUUAUCAAACUCACGACCGUUGUCGCACUGGACAGCCUUAAUGGUGGCGCCGAACUGCGUGGACACGGAGGAAAAGAAGUUAGCAAGUGUAGCAAAUGUGUUUGAUUUCAGCCGUAGCGGGAAUGUCCAUGAAAAAUGAGAGCAAUCAUCGAGAAUAAUUAAAUAGUACUUAAAAGGGUGCCCAGUCAGGGUGACUAGGAAGCGGGCUGUCCUCCAGGACAUGGGCGUCGAGGGAGAACUUCCCGAUAGUGAGCAGGAACUGCUCGCGCCAGCGGACGUAGUUGGUGGAGGCGACAUCGAGGAUGAACAGGACAAGGCUGCGGAUGUUCUGGACCGCAACAGCC